Molecule: ribosomal RNA, 468 nt
Filed under: uncultured bacterium
Lineage: Bacteria
Description: partial 16S ribosomal RNA
Rfam family: Bacterial small subunit ribosomal RNA
Source: RNAcentral
GACGAACGCUGGCGGCGUGCUUAACACAUGCAAGUCGAACGGAAAGGCCCUGCUUUUGUGGGGUGCUCGAGUGGCGAACGGGUGAGUAACACGUGAGUAACCUGCCCUUGACUUUGGGAUAACUUCAGGAAACUGGGGCUAAUACCGGAUAGGAGCUCCUGCUGCAUGGUGGGGGUUGGAAAGUUUCGGCGGUUGGGGAUGGACUGGCGGCUUAUCAGCUUGUUGGUGGGGUAGUGGCUUACCAAGGCUUUGACGGGUAGCCGGCCUGAGAGGGUGACCGGCCACAUUGGGACUGAGAUACGGCCCAGACUCCUACGGGAGGCAGCAGUGGGGAAUAUUGCACAAUGGGCGGAAGCCUGAUGCAGCAACGCCGCGUGCGGGAUGACGGCCUUCGGGUUGUAAACCGCUUUAGCCUGUGACGAAGCGUGAGUGACGGUAAUGGGUAAAGAAGCACCGGCUAACUACGUG